GGAUUCCCCUAGUAACUGCGAGUGAAGCGGGAAGAGCUCAAAUUUAAAAUCUGGCGGUUUUGGCCGUCCGAGUUGUAGUCUGGAGAAGUGUUUUCCGCGCUGGACCGUGUACAAGUCUCUUGGAAUAGAGCGUCAUAGAGGGUGAGAAUCCCGUCUUUGACACGGACUGCCAGUGCUUUGUGAUGCGCUCUCAAAGAGUCGAGUUGUUUGGGAAUGCAGCUCAAAAUGGGUGGUAAAUUCCAUCUAAAGCUAAAUAUUGGCGAGAGACCGAUAGCGAACAAGUACCGUGAGGGAAAGAUGAAAAGCACUUUGGAAAGAGAGUUAAACAGUACGUGAAAUUGCUGAAAGGGAAACACUUGAAGUCAGUCACAUCAUUUGGAACUCAGCCUUGCUCUUGCUUGGUGCACUUUCUAAGUGAUGGGCCAGCAUCAAUUUUGACUGUUGGAAAAGGGUUGGAGGAAUGUGGCACCUUUUGGGGUGUGUUAUAGCCUUCAAUCGCAUGCAGCAGUUGGGAUUGAGGAAUGCAGCGUGCCGCAAGGCAGGGGUUCUUACCCACUCUUCACGCUUAGGAUGCUGGCAUAAUGGCUUUAAGUGACCCGUCUUGAAACACGGACCAAGGAGUCUAACAUACCUGCAAGUAUUUGGGUGGAAAACCCAAGUGCGUAAUGAAAGUGAAAG
RNAcentral lists this ribosomal RNA (678 nucleotides) under Bresadolia craterella. RNAcentral's name for it is "partial 28S rRNA gene". It matches the Rfam family "Eukaryotic large subunit ribosomal RNA", at positions 72 to 731 of the family's 3401-position model. The record is from RNAcentral. Lineage: Eukaryota; Fungi; Basidiomycota; Agaricomycetes; Polyporales; Polyporaceae.